GUUCACAUGGCUAAAUAUUAAAUGGCAACCGAUAAAUAACAGAAAGAAGCUAGCCCAGCCCAGCCUCACAAGUCACAACCAUAAGCAAAGAGGGAUGUCUUGUCUUCUCAUUCACUGUAUUUACGGAAAACGCCAUUGAGCAGCUCUAGUUAUAUCAACCGACAUCGUGUCCGUUCUUUGGAAAGCGAUGUAUACGCCAUCGUAUUAUCAACUCAUCUUCUUCAAUAUUAAUUAAUUAAUUAAUUAAUUAUUAUUGCUGUUAAAUUCAAAGUUAAAAUAUUCAAAAAUAAGCUAAACAGAACAUGACUUGCAUGGGGGGUAGAGUUGUAUAAAUAUAGCAGAGAGAGAUUCCAAUCCAUUACAAGUCAUCUUCUUCUUCAUCCACUUUGCUGCUUUCUUAAUCUUCUAAAAAUAAACAAUUUCUAAAGAUAACAAUAACAGAGUCUUAAACGAGACAAAAGAAAGACAAAACCCUCUUGUUUCCCUGUUUCUCCGGAUUCUCUCCGAGGCCUCCGCGCUUCUUCCUUCUCCUCCUCUCGGAGAUGGAGAAACUUUCAUGAAAGCUUUGAGUUUUUUUUUUAAAUAAUAAUAAUUCAAACAUAUGGCUGUCGAAGAAAUGGAGAAGAAGAAAACCAAAGGAAGCAAUGAAAAAACAGAGUCCGAAGAUCCAUCGCCAAGAUGCGUGCUUGAGAUCCCAGCAACGAGUUCAGAUUCCGACAACAGCAGCAGUUGCAGCUCGUGCUCGCCUGAUAAAUCGUCGUCGUCGCCGUUGUCCACGACCGCUACGAACGGUCGUCAAUGGAACAAGAUGAUCGAGUCGAUCAAGAAGAAAUCCAUAAGGAGAUUCUCUGUUAUCCCUCUCCUCGCCAGCUACGAGCUCACGCGCAAGAACAUGCGGCGGAAACAGCCGAAGCUGUCUCCUCUUCCUGAUAACGUAUUCGACUGCGACCAGUUCCUUGUGGCUAAACCCUCGUGGCGUAAUUUCACUUACGAUGAGCUCGUCGCCGCCACCGACGGUUUUAAUGCUGAGAAAAUGAUUGGGAAAGGAGGACAUGCGGAGGUGUACAAAGGAGUUUUACCUGACGGAGAGAUCGUGGCGAUAAAGAGGCUUACGAGACACGCCAAUGAAGCAGAAGAGAGAGUCAGCGACUUCUUAUCUGAGCUAGGGAUGAUCGCACACGUUAACCACCCAAACGCAGCUAAGCUUCGCGGUUUCAGCUGCGAUCGCGGUUUGCAUUUUGUGCUUGAAUACGCUCCUCACGGCAGCCUCGCUUCUCUGCUCUUUGGGUCGUCUGAGGAGGAGUGUUUGGACUGGAAGAAACGGUAUAGAGUUGCUUUGGGUGUAGCUGAUGGUUUGAGUUAUCUUCAUAAUGAUUGCCCUCGACGUAUUAUCCACCGUGACAUUAAAGCUUCCAACAUUUUACUUAGUCAAGACUAUGAAGCUCAGAUAUCAGACUUUGGACUAGCUAAGUGGCUCCCAGAGAAUUGGCCUCAUCACAUUGUUUUCCCUAUCGAAGGCACAUUCGGGUAUCUAGCACCAGAGUACUUUAUGCAUGGGAUUGUUGAUGAGAAGACGGAUGUGUUUGCAUUUGGAGUGUUGCUUUUGGAGAUCAUAACUGGUCGUCGAGCUGUUGAUACAGCAAGCAGGCAAAGUAUAGUUAUGCGAAACCACUUCUGGAGAAGAGCAGCGUGGAGGAAAUAGUUGAUCCUAAGCUAGGAAAUGAGUUUGAUGAAACAGAGAUGAAAAGAGUGAUGCAAACAGCUUCAAUGUGCAUACACCAUGUAGCCGCUAUGCGUCCUGAUAUGAACCGGUUGGGGCAGCUACUGCGUGGAGGAGGAGAUGACCGGUUAGCUGAGACGCAGCAGAUAUCAAGAAGAAAGAGUCUGGACGGGUGUGACCUACAAGAUCACACCUCUUCCUCCUACCUUAACGAUCUCACUCGCCAUAGACAACUCUUGAUGGAGUGAAGUGAAGCAAUCUCAUCAAAUCAAUCAAUACACACAAACAAGAAGGAAGAAACAACAAUAGAAACGUUUCCUUUUCUUGCUUCAUCUACUCCAUUGUAAAGAAAUAUAUCUCCCAAAGAGGGAAAGUGUUGUAUGUAUGUAUAGUCUCUCAGCUUCAUGCUUUUUGUCUUUCAACAUGUGCUUUUUCCAUUAGUAACAACUAUCAAGAUAUGAGGAAGAUAUUCAUAAAUGAAAACAAGAGUUAUACU
Brassica rapa (field mustard) is the source of this 2216-nucleotide RNA transcript. It is a transcript of the gene named receptor-like cytosolic serine/threonine-protein kinase RBK1, with no coding region annotated. The record is from RefSeq and is a predicted model, not a curated record. NCBI's taxonomy places the organism in Eukaryota, Viridiplantae, Streptophyta, Magnoliopsida, Brassicales, Brassicaceae.